RNAcentral lists this long non-coding RNA (1122 nucleotides) under Betta splendens (Siamese fighting fish). RNAcentral's name for it is "lncRNA (ENSBSLG00000010619.1)". Lineage: Eukaryota; Metazoa; Chordata; Actinopteri; Anabantiformes; Osphronemidae. The record is from RNAcentral.
AUGCCCUGUUCUGGCCACAGAAUCACAGACAGUAGCAGUCCAGUCGUGUUUAGCUCAGGCUCCAGUCCAGUCGUGUCCCGCUCAGGUUCCAGCCCAAUCGUGUCCCGCUCAGGUUCCAGUCCAGUCGUGUCCCGCUCAGGUUCCAGUCCAGUCAUGUCCCGCUCAGUUUCCAGCCUAGCCGUGCUCUGCUCAGUUUCCAGCCCAGCCGUGCUCUGCUCAGUUUCCAGCCCAGCCGUGCUCUGCUCAGUUUCCAGCCCAGCCGUGCUCUGCUCAGUUUCCAGCCCAGCCGUGCUCUGCUCAGUUUCCAGCCCAGCCGUGCUCUGCUCAGUUUCCAGCCCAGCCGUGCUCUGCUCAGUUUCCAGCCCCAGUUCAGUCGUGCUCCGUUCAGGCUCCAGCCCGGUCACGUCGCGUUCAGGCUCCAGCCCGGUCACGUUGUGCUCCAGUCAAAUCAGGUCACGCUCAGGCUCCAGCCCGGUCACGUUGUGCUCCAGUCAAAUCACGUCACGCUCAGGCUCCAGCCCGGUCACGUUGUGCUCCAGUCAAAUCAUGUCACGCUCACGCUCCAGUCUUGCCCCAGCCAGAUGGCAGAACACGCCAGUCGAGCCCGGCUCUAGCCCAGUCGGGUUCAGCGCCCGUCCCGUCAAGCUCGAAGGUCGUAGGAGAGAGACCGCAAGCAGCCCUGCCGGCUCCAGAGAGGAGACCGCAAGCAGCCCUGCCGGCUCCAGAGAGGAGACCGCAAGCAGCCCUGCCGGCUCCAGAGAGGAGACCGCAAGCAGCCCUGCCGCCUCCAGAGAGGAGACCGCAAGCAGCCCUGCCGCCUCCAGAGAGGAGACCGCAAGCAGCCCUGCCGCCUCCAGAGAGGAGACCGCAUGCAGCCCUGCCGACCUGGUAGCAGUGACUGUCCCUGUCCCUGUCAGUCCUAGGGAGGCGGUCGUGUUACCCACCGCUAGUCCAGGAGAGACCAGUCUGGUCUUUGUCGGGCCCGACUCGGUCGUUCCAGCCACAGUUUACAAAAUGGUAGUUGAAGUCAAACAACAGCAUUCAUUACCCACAAAUAUGAAUUCAGGCUUCAUAAGCCUGCUUCCAAAACCAGGAGAAGACCCUAUGCUUCCAUCAAGUUAG